This 262-nucleotide ribosomal RNA is filed under the name uncultured archaeon. RNAcentral's name for it is "partial 16S ribosomal RNA". It matches the Rfam family "Archaeal small subunit ribosomal RNA", at positions 716 to 982 of the family's 1478-position model. The record is from RNAcentral.
AGUCACUGACAUUAGAUACCCGCGUAGUCCCAGCCGUAAACAAUGUGCGUUAGGUGUGUCGGUAACCACGUGUUACUGAUGCGCCGAAGAGAAAUCGUGAAACGCACCACCUGGGAAGUACGGUCGCAAGGCUGAACUUAAAGGAAUUGCGGGGAGCACCACAACAGGUGGAGCCUGCGGUUUAAUUGGAUUCAACGCCGGACAUCUCACCGGAUAAGACAGCUGAAUGAUAGUCGGGCUGAAGACUCUACUUGAUGAUCUG